RNAcentral lists this ribosomal RNA (616 nucleotides) under uncultured archaeon. RNAcentral describes it as "bacterial SSU rRNA". It matches the Rfam family "Archaeal small subunit ribosomal RNA", at positions 148 to 768 of the family's 1478-position model. The record is from RNAcentral.
AACACCGGAUUAGGAAAUCCAACUGGAAUGUGGAUUUCCUCAAAAGCAAUGCCUAAGGAUGAGUCGGCGGCGGAUUAGGUUGUUGGUGAGGUAACGGCUCACCAAGCCGAAGAUCCGUAGGGGCCUUGAGAGAGGUAGCCCCGAGAAGGGCACUGAGAUACUGGCCCUAGCUCCACGGAGUGCAGCAGGCGCGAAAACUUUACAAUGCGCGAAAGCGUGAUAAGGGAACCCCAAGUGGUGAUGCAAAGCAUCAUCUUUUGCUUAGAGCAAAUAUCUAAGCGAAUAAGUGGUGGGCAAUACCUGUGCCAGCCGCCGCGGUAACCCAGGAGCCACAAGUGGCAACCACCUUUAUUGGGCCUAAAGCGUCCGUAGCCUGUUCUGUAAAUUUUCUGUGAAAUCGUUGCGCUUAACGUAACGGCGAGCAGAAAACACUGCAAGACUAGGGACCGGGAGGAGUUAGGGGUAUUUCUGGGGGAGCGGUAAAAUGCUAUAAUCCCAGAAGGACCACCUGUGGCGAAGGCGCCUAACUAGAACGGAUUCGACGGUGAGGGACGAAAGCUAGGGGAGCAAUCCGGAUUAGAUACCCGAGUAGUCCUAGCUGUAAACUCUGCGGGCU